UACGUAGGGUCCAAGCGUUAUCCGGAAUCACUGGGCGUAAAGCGUGCGUAGGCGGAUAUUUAAGUGCAAUGCGAAAUCCUGUGGCUCAACCAUAUGGACUGUGUUGCAUACUGGAUAUCUGGAGGAAUGCAGAGGCAAGUGGAAUUACUGGUGUAGCAGUGAAAUGCGUAGAUAUCAGUAGGAACACCAAUGGCGAAGGCAGCUUGCUGGGCAUUUUCUGACGCUAAGGCACGAAAGCGUGGGGAGCGAACAGG
RNAcentral lists this ribosomal RNA (254 nucleotides) under uncultured bacterium. RNAcentral's name for it is "partial 16S ribosomal RNA". It matches the Rfam family "Bacterial small subunit ribosomal RNA", at positions 524 to 776 of the family's 1533-position model. The record is from RNAcentral.